UAGAGUUUGAUCAUGGCUCAGAUUGAACGCUGGCGGCAGGCCUAACACAUGCAAGUCGAACGGUAACAGGAAUCAGCUUGCUGAUUCGCUGACGAGUGGCGGACGGGUGAGUAAUGUCUGGGAAACUGCCUGAUGGAGAGGGAUAACUACUGGAAACGGUAGCUAAUACCGCAUAACGUCGCAAGACCAAAGAGGGGGACCUUCGGGUCUCUUGCCAUCGGAUGUGCCCAGAUGGGAUUAGCUAGUAGGUGGGGUAACGGCUCACCUAGGCGACGAUCCCUAGCUGGUCUGAGAGGAUGACCAGCCACACUGGAACUGAGACACGGUCCAGACUCCUACGGGAGGCAGCAGUGGGGAAUAUUGCACAAUGGGCGCAAGCCUGAUGCAGCCAUGCCGCGUGUAUGAAGAAGGCCUUCGGGUUGUAAAGUACUUUCAGCGGGGAGGAAGGGAGUAAAGUUAAUACCUUUGCUCAUUGACGUUACCCGCAGAAGAAGCACCGGCUAACUCCGUGCCAGCAGCCGCGGUAAUACA
RNAcentral lists this ribosomal RNA (531 nucleotides) under bacterium enrichment culture clone Jdg003. RNAcentral describes it as "bacterial SSU rRNA". It matches the Rfam family "Bacterial small subunit ribosomal RNA", at positions 1 to 527 of the family's 1533-position model. The record is from RNAcentral.